Molecule: ribosomal RNA, 216 nt
Filed under: uncultured bacterium
Lineage: Bacteria
Description: partial 16S ribosomal RNA
Rfam family: Bacterial small subunit ribosomal RNA
Source: RNAcentral
UGAGCAAUCUGCCCUUCUCAUCGGAAUAAGCGUUGGAAACGACGUCUAAUGCCGAAUACGACCUCCUUUCGCAUGAUCGGAGGUGGAAAGCUCCGGCGGAGAAGGAUGAGCUCGCGGCCUAUCAGCUAGUUGGUGUGGGUAAUGGCCCACCAAGGCGACGAUCCUUAGCUGGUCUGAGAGGAUGAUCAGCCACACUGGGACUGAGACACCGGCAGA